CGGCGUGCUUAACACAUGCAAGUCGAGCGAUGAAGCUCUUCGGAAGUGGAUAGCGGCGGACGGGUGAGUAACACGUGGGUAACCUGCCUCAUAGAGGGGAAUAGCCUUCCGAAAGGAAGAUUAAUACCGCAUAAGAUUGUAAUAUCGCAUGAUAUAGCAAUUAAAGGAGUAAUCCGCUAUGAGAUGGACCCGCGUCGCAUUAGCUAGUUGGUGAGGUAACGGCUCACCAAGGCGACGAUGCGUAGCCGACCUGAGAGGGUGAUCGGCCACAUUGGGACUGAGACACGGCCCAGACUCCUACGGGAGGCAGCAGUGGGGAAUAUUGCACAAUGGGGGAAACCCUGAUGCAGCAAACCGCCGCGUGAGUGAUGACGGUCUUCGGAUUGUAAAGCUCUGUCUUCAGGGACGAUAAUGACGGUACCUGAGGAGGAAGCCACGGCUAACUACGUGCCAGCAGCUGC
Molecule: ribosomal RNA, 461 nt
Filed under: uncultured bacterium
Lineage: Bacteria
Description: bacterial SSU rRNA
Rfam family: Bacterial small subunit ribosomal RNA
Source: RNAcentral